RNAcentral lists this ribosomal RNA (305 nucleotides) under uncultured bacterium. RNAcentral's name for it is "bacterial SSU rRNA". It matches the Rfam family "Bacterial small subunit ribosomal RNA", at positions 337 to 653 of the family's 1533-position model. The record is from RNAcentral.
GCCUACGGGAGGCAGCAGUCGAGAAUCAUUCACAAUGGGGGAAACCCUGAUGGUGCGACGCCGCGUGGGGGAAUGAAGGUCUUCGGAUUGUAAACCCCUGUCAUGUGGGAGCAAAUUAAAAAGAUAGUACCACAAGAGGAAGAGACGGCUAACUCUGUGCCAGCAGCCGCGGUAAUACAGAGGUCUCAAGCGUUGUUCGGAAUCACUGGGCGUAAAGCGCGCGUAGGCUGUUUCGUAAGUCGUGUGUGAAAGUCGCGGGCUCAACCCGCGGACGGCACAUGAUACUGCGAGACUAGAGUAAUGGG